UACGGAGGGGGCUAACGUUGUUCGGAAUCACUGGGCGUAAAGGGCGCGUAGGCGGCUUGGCAAGUGGAAGGUGAAAUCCCUCGGCUUAACCGAGGAACUGCCCUCCAAACUGCUUUGCUUGAGGCCGGGAGAGGUGAGUGGAAUUCCCAGUGUAGCGGUGAAAUGCGUAGAUAUUGGGAGGAACACCAGUGGCGAAGGCGGCUCACUGGACCGGUUCUGACGCUGAGGCGCGAAAGCGUGGGGAGCAAACGGG
Molecule: ribosomal RNA, 253 nt
Filed under: uncultured bacterium
Lineage: Bacteria
Description: partial 16S ribosomal RNA
Rfam family: Bacterial small subunit ribosomal RNA
Source: RNAcentral